Molecule: ribosomal RNA, 2796 nt
Filed under: Pseudomonas amygdali pv. dendropanacis
Lineage: Bacteria; Pseudomonadati; Pseudomonadota; Gammaproteobacteria; Pseudomonadales; Pseudomonadaceae
Description: bacterial LSU rRNA
Rfam family: Bacterial large subunit ribosomal RNA
Source: RNAcentral
UCAAGUGAAGAAGCGCAUACGGUGGAUGCCUUGGCAGUCAGAGGCGAUGAAAGACGUGGUAGCCUGCGAAAAGCUUCGGGGAGUCGGCAAACAGACUGUGAUCCGGAGAUGUCUGAAUGGGGGAACCCAGCCAUCAUAAGAUGGUUAUCUUGUACUGAAUACAUAGGUGCAAGAGGCGAACCAGGGGAACUGAAACAUCUAAGUACCCUGAGGAAAAGAAAUCAACCGAGAUUCCCUUAGUAGUGGCGAGCGAACGGGGACCAGCCCUUAAGUUGUAUUGAGAUUAGCGGAACGUUCUGGAAAGGACGGCCAUAGUGGGUGAUAGCCCUGUACGCGAAAAUCCCUUUGCAAUGAAAUCGAGUAGGACGGGGCACGAGAAACCUUGUCUGAAUAUGGGGGGACCAUCCUCCAAGGCUAAAUACUACUGACUGACCGAUAGUGAACCAGUACCGUGAGGGAAAGGCGAAAAGAACCGCGGAGAGCGGAGUGAAAUAGAUCCUGAAACCGUAUGCGUACAAGCAGUGGGAGCCCACUUUGUUGGGUGACUGCGUACCUUUUGUAUAAUGGGUCAGCGACUUAUUUUCAGUGGCGAGCUUAACCGAAUAGGGGAGGCGUAGCGAAAGCGAGUCUUAAUAGGGCGUCUAGUCGCUGGGAAUAGACCCGAAACCGGGCGAUCUAUCCAUGGGCAGGUUGAAGGUUGGGUAACACUAACUGGAGGACCGAACCGACUACCGUUGAAAAGUUAGCGGAUGACCUGUGGAUCGGAGUGAAAGGCUAAUCAAGCUCGGAGAUAGCUGGUUCUCCUCGAAAGCUAUUUAGGUAGCGCCUCAUGUAUCACUGUAGGGGGUAGAGCACUGUUUCGGCUAGGGGGUCAUCCCGACUUACCAAACCGAUGCAAACUCCGAAUACCUACAAGUGCCGAGCAUGGGAGACACACGGCGGGUGCUAACGUCCGUCGUGAAAAGGGAAACAACCCAGACCGUCAGCUAAGGUCCCAAAGUCAUGGUUAAGUGGGAAACGAUGUGGGAAGGCUUAGACAGCUAGGAGGUUGGCUUAGAAGCAGCCACCCUUUAAAGAAAGCGUAAUAGCUCACUAGUCGAGUCGGCCUGCGCGGAAGAUGUAACGGGGCUCAAACCAUGCACCGAAGCUACGGGUAUCAUCUUUUGAUGAUGCGGUAGAGGAGCGUUCUGUAAGCCUGUGAAGGUGAGUUGAGAAGCUUGCUGGAGGUAUCAGAAGUGCGAAUGCUGACAUGAGUAACGACAAUGGGUGUGAAAAACACCCACGCCGAAAGACCAAGGUUUCCUGCGCAACGUUAAUCGACGCAGGGUUAGUCGGUCCCUAAGGCGAGGCUGAAAAGCGUAGUCGAUGGAAAACAGGUUAAUAUUCCUGUACUUCUGGUUAUUGCGAUGGAGGGACGGAGAAGGCUAGGCCAGCCUGGCGUUGGUUGUCCAGGUUUAAGGUGGUAGGCUGAGAUCUUAGGUAAAUCCGGGAUCUCAAGGCCGAGAGCUGAUGACGAGUGUUCUUUAGAACACGAAGUGGUUGAUGCCAUGCUUCCAAGAAAAGCUUCUAAGCUUCAGGUAACCAGGAACCGUACCCCAAACCGACACAGGUGGUUGGGUAGAGAAUACCAAGGCGCUUGAGAGAACUCGGGUGAAGGAACUAGGCAAAAUGGCACCGUAACUUCGGGAGAAGGUGCGCCGGUGAGGGUGAAGCAUUUACUGCGUAAGCCCACGCCGGUCGAAGAUACCAGGCCGCUGCGACUGUUUAUUAAAAACACAGCACUCUGCAAACACGAAAGUGGACGUAUAGGGUGUGACGCCUGCCCGGUGCCGGAAGGUUAAUUGAUGGGGUUAGCGCAAGCGAAGCUCUUGAUCGAAGCCCCGGUAAACGGCGGCCGUAACUAUAACGGUCCUAAGGUAGCGAAAUUCCUUGUCGGGUAAGUUCCGACCUGCACGAAUGGCGUAACGAUGGCGGCGCUGUCUCCACCCGAGACUCAGUGAAAUUGAAAUCGCUGUGAAGAUGCAGUGUAUCCGCGGCUAGACGGAAAGACCCCGUGAACCUUUACUAUAGCUUUGCACUGGACUUUGAAUUUGCUUGUGUAGGAUAGGUGGGAGGCUUUGAAGCGUGGACGCCAGUCUGCGUGGAGCCAACCUUGAAAUACCACCCUGGCAACUUUGAGGUUCUAACUCAGGUCCGUUAUCCGGAUCGAGGACAGUGUAUGGUGGGUAGUUUGACUGGGGCGGUCUCCUCCUAAAGAGUAACGGAGGAGUACGAAGGUGCGCUCAGACCGGUCGGAAAUCGGUCGUAGAGUAUAAAGGCAAAAGCGCGCUUGACUGCGAGACAGACACGUCGAGCAGGUACGAAAGUAGGUCUUAGUGAUCCGGUGGUUCUGUAUGGAAGGGCCAUCGCUCAACGGAUAAAAGGUACUCCGGGGAUAACAGGCUGAUACCGCCCAAGAGUUCAUAUCGACGGCGGUGUUUGGCACCUCGAUGUCGGCUCAUCACAUCCUGGGGCUGAAGCCGGUCCCAAGGGUAUGGCUGUUCGCCAUUUAAAGUGGUACGCGAGCUGGGUUUAGAACGUCGUGAGACAGUUCGGUCCCUAUCUGCCGUGGACGUUUGAGAUUUGAGAGGGGCUGCUCCUAGUACGAGAGGACCGGAGUGGACGAACCUCUGGUGUUCCGGUUGUCACGCCAGUGGCAUUGCCGGGUAGCUAUGUUCGGAAAAGAUAACCGCUGAAAGCAUCUAAGCGGGAAACUUGCCUCAAGAUGAGAUCUCACUGGAACCUUGAGUUCCCUAA